Etheostoma spectabile (orangethroat darter) is the source of this 141-nucleotide long non-coding RNA. RefSeq lists it as uncharacterized. Lineage: Eukaryota; Metazoa; Chordata; Actinopteri; Perciformes; Percidae. The record is from RefSeq and is a predicted model, not a curated record. The transcript is spliced from 3 exons.
UGUGUGUUUGUGUUUUCUGUGACUUAUGCCUACCAUACACUAGAAGAGUUUGAACAGACUUUGAAAAGACUACAGUCUGACACCAUCUCACAUCAACAGACAAUCAUUUCACAUCUAACGUUUAGGACGGUUAAAUGUAAA